CUGGCGCGCUUACCAUGCAAGUCGAACGGGCGUAGCAAUACGUCAGUGGCAGACGGGUGAGUAACGCGUGGGAACGUACCUUUUGGUUCGGAACAACUGAGGGAAACUUCAGCUAAUACCGGAUAAGCCCUUACGGGGAAAGAUUUAUCGCCGAAAGAUCGGCCCGCGUCUGAUUAGCUAGUUGGUGAGGUAAUGGCUCACCAAGGCGACGAUCAGUAGCUGGUCUGAGAGGAUGAUCAGCCACAUUGGGACUGAGACACGGCCCAAACUCCUACGGGAGGCAGCAGUGGGGAAUAUUGGACAAUGGGGGCAACCCUGAUCCAGCCAUGCCGCGUGAGUGAUGAAGGCCCUAGGGUUGUAAAGCUCUUUUGUGCGGGAAGAUAAUGACGGUACCGCAAGAAUAAGCCCCGGCUAACUUCGUGCCAGCAGCCGCGGUAAUACGAAGGGGGCUAGCGUUGCUCGGAAUCACUGGGCGUAAAGGGUGCGUAGGCGGGUUUCUAAGUCAGAGGUGAAAGCCUGGAGCUCAACUCCAGAACUGCCUUUGAUACUGGAAGUCUUGAGUAUGGCAGAGGUGAGUGGAACUGCGAGUGUAGAGGUGAAAUUCGUAGAUAUUCGCAAGAACACCAGUGGCGAAGGCGGCUCACUGGGCCAUUACUGACGCUGAGGCACGAAAGCGUGGGGAGCAAACAGGAUUAGAUACCCUGGUAGUCCACGCCCUAAACGAUGUCAACUAGCUGUUGGGGCCGUUAGGCCUUAGUAGCGCAGCUAACGCGUGAAGUUGACCGCCCUGGGGAGUACGGUCGCAAGAUUAAAACUCAAA
This 820-nucleotide ribosomal RNA is filed under the name uncultured Rhodopseudomonas sp. Its description in RNAcentral is "bacterial SSU rRNA". It matches the Rfam family "Bacterial small subunit ribosomal RNA", at positions 39 to 905 of the family's 1533-position model. Lineage: Bacteria; Pseudomonadati; Pseudomonadota; Alphaproteobacteria; Hyphomicrobiales; Nitrobacteraceae. The record is from RNAcentral.